UACGUAGGGGGCAAGCGUUAUCCGGAUUUACUGGGUGUAAAGGGAGCGUAGACGGUGCAGCAAGUCUGAUGUGAAAGGUCGGGGCCCAACCCCGGGACUGCAUUGGAAACUGUUGAACUGGAGUACAGGAGAGGUAAGCGGAAUUCCUAGUGUAGCGGUGAAAUGCGUAGAUAUCACGAAGAACUCCGAUUGCGAAGGCAGCCUGCUGGACUGUAACUGACGCUGAUGCUCGAAAGUGUGGGUAUCAAACAGG
Molecule: ribosomal RNA, 253 nt
Filed under: uncultured Eubacteriales bacterium
Lineage: Bacteria; Bacillati; Bacillota; Clostridia; Eubacteriales
Description: uncultured Clostridiales bacterium partial 16S ribosomal RNA
Rfam family: Bacterial small subunit ribosomal RNA
Source: RNAcentral